AGGAAUGAAAAUACAAGAGGGGAUGGAGAGUAUAAAAAAAUAAAGAAAAAUGAGUGGGGUGGCGAGCGCAAACCAGAGGGAGAGAAGCAACAAGAAGGAAGAAACAAAAAUGACAAAAAUCAGAUGAACGGAGGGAAGAAGAAAAAUAAUAUGCGAGAAAAAAAAAAGGUAGAUAUCUUGACUCUUCGUGUUUGUUAUUUCUUUACUGCUCCUCUCUUUGUUUUCUUCUUCUUUAUAUAUAUGUUUUUUUAAGGAGAAUUAGUGUCAUAUCUCCAUCUAAAAGUCAUCUAAAAGUCAUCUUUUUUAAGGAGAAUUUGUGCAUCCCCAUUAGUUUCCUUUUUCAUUUUCUUUAUUCAAAAUAUGAGUUCCUCUGCACUUCUGGUGCAUUUAUGUUUUUAGCUUAUUUAUUUUUAUUUGAAUGUGUUAAUUCUCUUUUUAUGUUUGAGAACAAAACAAGUUUUGGAUGAGCUAAGGCAUAUCUCCAUUUGUAUAAUGAUGGAAGAAAGUUGUCUUCUUGCUUUUGCUUCAAACUCAAAGUUUUGUCUCCUUCUCUUUGUAUCAUAAUAACAACUAGAGGACAAUGAAAAUUAUUAUUUUUUCUUUCAUUUUAUUAAUUAAUUCACCAUUUUAUAUUAUCUAUUUUAAUGUUGUUAUAAUUGUAAUUUCAAGAGAUGAGAUUAGUGUCCGUAUUUAUUAUUUUUUGUUAUAUCACUUUUAUUUUUAUUUUUAUUUUAUAUUUUUUAUUAAUAAUUAUGAACGCAAAAAUAUAUUUAUAUUUUUUUUGAAAAUUUUAAGAUUUCAUAAAAAGAAAUAAAAUAAUGUCAAACAUAAAAUUUGAUAUAUUAUGACUAUUAUAAUUUAAUUUGUUGGACAAAACUGGGUUGCACCUAUUUAAUUAUAUUUUACUAGAGAAUAUGGACAACAACCAACCAUGGUUUUUAAUUAUCGCUAUAGAAUAUAAGUAAAUAUAAGGACUUAAAUUUUGUUCAUAUAUAAAUUGCAAAAGUAGAUUAAUUUUUAAUGCAAGAACGUGUGUAAUAAAAAAGCAAAUAAAAAUGUGAAUGAUGGACAAGGAUGAAAAUUUAUCAUCUUUGAAUUGAUUACCGAUGUGUAUAUUGACAGGAAUGAAAAAAUAAUUAUUUUCGGAUUGGUUAUCGAUACGAAGAUUAACAAGAAUAAAAAAAAUAAUCGUCUUUAGAUUGGUUCUUGAUAUGUAGAUCGACAACAAUAAAAAAUGAUCAUCUUCAUAUGGUUACCGAUAUGAAGAUUGACAAGAAUAAAAAAAAUGAUGGUCUUCAGAUUGGUUAUCAAUGCGUAGAUCGGCAACAAUAACAAAUGAUCGUCUUCAGAUGGUUACUGAUUCGUCAAUGGACAGGAAUGGAAAAAAUGAUUGUCUCUUGAUUUAUUAAUGGUGCUUAGAUAAACAAGAAUGAGCAAUUGAUCAUCUCCAGAUUGGUUAAAGAUGCAUAAAUCAACAAGAAUAUAAUUGAUCGUUUUCAGAUUAAUUAUUGAUACAUAGAUCGACAAAGAUUAAGAUGCAGUAAGAUAAAGAUCUAGUUUAUAAUUUUAAUAAAGAGGAAAUAUAUGUAUAUCAUAAUUCUAAUGCAAACGUUAAAACAUAUAAUGAGCAAUGUACAACACAAGGUUGUUGAUUAUAAGUAAAGUAUGACUGUAAGACGCAUGAUUAUGAAUCUAAGAUGCCUGAUUCAUGUUGUUAUGCAUUAUAGAUAAGUUCUUAUUCAAUUAUUUAAUUAUUCGAUCCUCAUAGUCUUAUGCAAUCCCAAAAUUCAAUGGAUAAAUGAAAAUAAGAAUUAUUUUCCCAUAAUGACUCCUUG
RNAcentral lists this long non-coding RNA (1835 nucleotides) under Cicer arietinum (chickpea). Its description in RNAcentral is "long non-coding RNA (CARI_LNC000665)". The record is from RNAcentral. Lineage: Eukaryota; Viridiplantae; Streptophyta; Magnoliopsida; Fabales; Fabaceae.